RNAcentral lists this ribosomal RNA (451 nucleotides) under uncultured bacterium. Its description in RNAcentral is "partial 16S ribosomal RNA". It matches the Rfam family "Bacterial small subunit ribosomal RNA", at positions 354 to 796 of the family's 1533-position model. The record is from RNAcentral.
GUGGGGAAUAUUGGACAAUGGGGGGAACCCUGAUCCAGCCAUGCCGCGUGUGUGAAGAAGGCCUUUUGGUUGUAAAGCACUUUAAGCGAGGAGGAGGCUUACCUGGUUAAUACCUAGGAUAAGUGGACGUUACUCGCAGAAUAAGCACCGGCUAACUCUGUGCCAGCAGCCGCGGUAAUACAGAGGGUGCGAGCGUUAAUCGGAUUUACUGGGCGUAAAGCGCGCGUAGGUGGUUAAUUAAGUCAAAUGUGAAAUCCCCGAGCGUAACUUGGGAAUUGCAUUCGAUACUGGUUAGCUAGAGUAUGGGAGAGGAUGGUAGAAUUCCAGGUGUAGCGGUGAAAUGCGUAGAGAUCUGGAGGAAUACCGAUGGCGAAGGCAGCCAUCUGGCCUAAUACUGACACUGAGGUGCGAAAGCAUGGGGAGCAAACAGGAUUAGAUACCCUUGUAGUCC